AAGUGGGUAACUUCUGCCAUGUCAAGGAAGGACUUGUUCUUGGGCAGCUCCUAGGUAACAGAUUCACAGUCACCUUACGGUAUGUGUGCUUUCUUUCAUGGAUUUCAUUUAUGUUGGCUGGUUAUAUUUUCCAAUUUCUCUAGUGGCAUGGUCUCACAGCUCUUACAUUUCCCUAGAGGAGUCAUUGCAGAUUCUGAAACUACCAUCAAAGGUUCUGCAGAUUCAUUAGGAAGGCAU
This 237-nucleotide unclassified non-coding RNA is filed under the name Hevea brasiliensis (rubber tree). Lineage: Eukaryota; Viridiplantae; Streptophyta; Magnoliopsida; Malpighiales; Euphorbiaceae. The record is from RNAcentral.